Non-coding RNA from Salvia hispanica, 456 nucleotides. The record is from RefSeq and is a predicted model, not a curated record. Lineage: Eukaryota; Viridiplantae; Streptophyta; Magnoliopsida; Lamiales; Lamiaceae.
AAAAUCCUGUUUGUUAAUGUUAUCUUGAGUUCAUGGUGACCAUUUUCUUGAAGAUAUAGUUUGGAUCAUGUCUUGCCGAACAUUUUAGAGAAUCUUAACCAUUUCUCAGAAGAUGAAUACAUCUUAUCUUGAACAAGACCUUUUCUGCUUAGGUUUCUAUACACAGAUAAUGAGUAUGUUUUGGAAGCGGGCAUGCUGAUGCUGCAACAGUAGAUGUUCGGGCUAGAUGAAAGGAUUUUUGAAGCCAGAGGCCGUUGCUGCUGUUGCACCGACCUGUUAUAUUCACUCUAUCAAUAACGGUGCCGUUGCAGACACUAAAUCUUGUGAAUUUACAGGUAUGCACUCUUACAGGUUUGUGAAUUUUAUAAUUACCGUUGUAAAAUAAUGCAAAACUUCACAUUUAACACUUAUAUUUAGUUUUUUCAAAUUUUUAUGCAAUAAUUAAGAUACACAAUA